AUGCACCCAGUGCGUGUCAAUGGAUUUGUUUGCAAGAACCCGAUGGAGGUCAACGCCGAUGACUUCUUCAAGGCAGCCGCCCUCGAUAAGCCUAGGGUGACCAACAAGGUUGGAUCCAACGUCACCUUGAUCAAUGUCAUGCAGAUUGCUGGACUCAACACCCUCGGCAUCUCAAUCGCACGCAUCGACUAUGCUCCCUUAGGCCAGAACCCUCCACACACGCACCCCCGUGCCACUGAGAUCCUCACGGUGCUCGAGGGAACAUUGUACGUUGGCUUUGUCACAUCCAACCUGCCCGCCCCAGCCAGAAACAAGUUCUUCUCAAAGGUGCUCAACAAAGGUGAUGUGUUUGUCUUCCCCGUGGGGCUCAUCCACUUCCAAUUCAACCCUAACCCCCACCAG
Molecule: ribosomal RNA, 402 nt
Filed under: Triticum aestivum (bread wheat)
Lineage: Eukaryota; Viridiplantae; Streptophyta; Magnoliopsida; Poales; Poaceae
Description: partial small subunit ribosomal RNA
Source: RNAcentral